This 424-nucleotide ribosomal RNA is filed under the name uncultured soil bacterium. RNAcentral's name for it is "bacterial SSU rRNA". It matches the Rfam family "Bacterial small subunit ribosomal RNA", at positions 59 to 478 of the family's 1533-position model. The record is from RNAcentral.
CAGUCGAACGGCAGCACGGGGGCAACCCUGGUGGCGAGUGGCGAACGGGUGAGUAAUACAUCGGAACGUGUCCUGUAGUGGGGGAUAGCCCGGCGAAAGCCGGAUUAAUACCGCAUACGCUCUACGGAGGAAAGGGGGGGAUCUUAGGACCUCCCGCUACAGGGGCGGCCGAUGGCAGAUUAGCUAGUUGGUGGGGUAAAGGCCUACCAAGGCGACGAUCUGUAGCUGGUCUGAGAGGACGACCAGCCACACUGGGACUGAGACACGGCCCAGACUCCUACGGGAGGCAGCAGUGGGGAAUUUUGGACAAUGGGGGAAACCCUGAUCCAGCAAUGCCGCGUGUGUGAAGAAGGCCUUCGGGUUGUAAAGCACUUUUGUCCGGAAAGAAAACCUCCGAGUUAAUACCUUGGGGGGAUGACGGUAC